Molecule: ribosomal RNA, 465 nt
Filed under: Vreelandella stevensii
Lineage: Bacteria; Pseudomonadati; Pseudomonadota; Gammaproteobacteria; Oceanospirillales; Halomonadaceae
Description: partial 16S ribosomal RNA
Rfam family: Bacterial small subunit ribosomal RNA
Source: RNAcentral
CCUACGGGAGGCUGCAGUGGGGAAUAUUGGACAAUGGGGGGAACCCUGAUCCAGCCAUGCCGCGUGUGUGAAGAAGGCCCUCGGGUUGUAAAGCACUUUCAGUGAGGAAGAACGCCUGGUGGUGAAUACCCAUCAGGAAAGACAUCACUCACAGAAGAAGCACCGGCUAACUCCGUGCCAGCAGCCGCGGUAAUACGGAGGGUGCGAGCGUUAAUCGGAAUUACUGGGCGUAAAGCGCGCGUAGGUGGCUUGAUAAGCCGGUUGUGAAAGCCCCGGGCUCAACCUGGGAACGGCAUCCGGAACUGUCAAGCUAGAGUGCAGGAGAGGAAGGUAGAAUUCCCGGUGUAGCGGUGAAAUGCGUAGAGAUCGGGAGGAAUACCAGUGGCGAAGGCGGCCUUCUGGACUGACACUGACACUGAGGUGCGAAAGCGUGGGUAGCAAACAGGAUUAGAUACCCGGGUAGUC